Molecule: ribosomal RNA, 462 nt
Filed under: uncultured Thermovirga sp.
Lineage: Bacteria; Thermotogati; Synergistota; Synergistia; Synergistales; Thermovirgaceae
Description: bacterial SSU rRNA
Rfam family: Bacterial small subunit ribosomal RNA
Source: RNAcentral
CGGUGGAGCACGUGGUUUAAUUCGAUGCAAACCGAAGAACCUUUACCUGGGUUUGACAUACAGGUGGUAGAGCGAAGAGAUUCAAUCGACUCUGCAGUAAUGCAGAGAGCCUGCACAGGUGCUGCAUGGCUGUCGUCAGCUCGUGUCGUGAGAUGUUGGGUUAAGUCCGCAACGAGCGCAACCCCUAUUGCCAGUUGCUAACAGGAGAGCUGAGCACUCUGGCGAGACUGCCGCCGACAAGGCGGAGGAAGGUGGGGAUGACGUCAAGUCAUCAUGGCCUUUAUGCCCAGGGCUACACACGUGCUACAAUGGCCGGCACAGACGGCAGCUUAGUGGCGACACUUGGCAAAUCCUCUAAAGCCGGUCCCAGUUCGGAUUGCAGUCUGCAACUCGACUGCAUGAAGCCGGAAUCGCUAGUAAUCGCAGAUCAGCCAAGCUGCGGUGAAUACGUUCCCGGGCCUU